UAGGGAUAGAUUGUUGCAAUUUUCAAUCUUGAACGAGGAAUUCCUAGUAAACGCAAGUCAUCAGCUUGCAUUGAUUACGUCCCUGCCCUUUGUACACACCGCCCGUCGCACCUUCUGAUUGAAUGACUCGGUGAGAAAUCGGGACCGUGAGUCCGUUUGCUUCAUUGCGAGUGGACUGAUGGGAACUUUUUCUAACCUCGCCAUUUAGAGGAAGGUGAAGUCGUAAUAAGGUUUCCGUAGGUGA
This 244-nucleotide ribosomal RNA is filed under the name Pythium aphanidermatum. Its description in RNAcentral is "partial small subunit ribosomal RNA". It matches the Rfam family "Eukaryotic small subunit ribosomal RNA", at positions 1571 to 1812 of the family's 1831-position model. Lineage: Eukaryota; Oomycota; Peronosporomycetes; Pythiales; Pythiaceae. The record is from RNAcentral.